This is a long non-coding RNA of Pteropus alecto (black flying fox), 453 nucleotides long. RefSeq lists it as uncharacterized. The record is from RefSeq and is a predicted model, not a curated record. Lineage: Eukaryota; Metazoa; Chordata; Mammalia; Chiroptera; Pteropodidae. The transcript has 3 exons.
GCUGGAACACGUGACGGGGCGUGGCCUCGUCACCGAAACCAACACCGAGACCCUUUCCAGGGCCUUAAAGGAACCGCCCCUCACCUGAACAAAUGCCUUGAAAGUGAGAUGCCGCAAAGAUGAGGAAACCAAAAAUCAACAAGGUUAAAUAAAUUGCUGGAGAUUAUAGGGGGAGAGCACUAAGGUGGACCGACCCUAUGGCUAAUUUCCCAUGACGCCAGACAGAGAGAUCCCAGAAAAGACCUCAGAACUGUCCUGAAGGCCUGAAGAAGUGGUAUUACUCUUACCUUACCGCCUACUAAGCUCCCAGCACAACUCGAAACUCCUAACCCAGUGUCUUGUGAUUUUGCCCUAUGUAAUCUGUAACCUAUGUAUCACUGAGGAAUUCAGGCUUUUGAGCAUUAGCUUCCCGUUCUACUGGAUGGCGCCAUUCAUCAAUAAAAUAGCCAAUAU